GCCGGGACCAUCCGGUAAGGCUAAAUACUCCCGAGAGACCGAUAGCGAACCAGUACUGUGAAGGAAAGGUGAAAAGCACUUCGAAUAGAAGAGUGAAAUAGUCCCUGAAACCAUGCGCCUACAAGCGGUCGGAGCAGCUUCAGCUGUGACGGCGUGCCUUUUGCAUAAUGAACCUACGAGUUACUUUUUCCGGCAAGGUUAAGCAUCUUGAGAUGUGGAUCCGAAGCGAAAGCGAGUCUGAACAGGGCGGAUAGUCGGAAGGAGUAGACGCGAAACCAAGUGAUCUACCCUUGGGCAGGUUGAAGGUUAGGUAACACUAACUGGAGGACCGAACCGAUAAGCGUUGAAAAGCUUCCGGAUGACCUGAGGGUGGGGGUGAAAGGCUAAUCAAACUUGGAGAUAGCUCGUACUCCCCGAAAUGCAUUUAGGUGCAGCCUUGAGAGUUACUAAUGUGAGGUAGAGCGACUGAUAAGAUGCGAGGGCUUCACCGCCUAUCAAGUCUUGACAAACUCCGAAUGCGUGUCAGUUCUAUGUCAGGAGUGAGGGCAUGGGUGCUAAGGUCCAUGUCCUAAAGGAGAACAAUCCGGACCAACAGCUAAGGUCCCGAAAUGAAUACUAAGUUGAACUAACGAAGUCAGAUUGCUAAGACAGCUAGGAUGUUGGCUUGGAAGCAGCCAUUCAUUUAAAGAGUGCGUAACAGCUCACUAGUCGAGGAGUUUGGCGUGGAUAAUAAUCGGGCAUUAAGCAAUUUACCGAAGCUAUGGGAUCCGUAAGGAUCGGUAGGGGAGCAUUCCACUCUGCGUCGAAGGUGAAGCGUGAGCUUUGCUGGAGCGUGUGGAAAAGCAAAUGUAGGUAUAAGUAACGAUAAAGGGGGUGAGAAACCCCCUCGCCGAAAGACUAAGGUUUCCUGAUCAACGCUAAUCGGAUCAGGGUUAGUCGGGUCCUAAGGCUCAGCCGAACGGUGAGGCCGAUGGCAGAACAGGUUAAUAUUCCUGUACUACCUUAAAGAGUGACGUGGAGACGGAGGAGUGACAGCGCCGCGGACUGACGGAAUAGUCCGUUAAAGGGUGUAGAUGUUGAUUAUCCCAGGCAAAUCCGGGAUAAGAGUCGAACCUGACAGUAUACCAAUUUCCUCGGAAAACGGUAAUAGUGCGUGUAAACAUACUCCCAAGAAAAUCCGCUAAACUUAAUCUUACAGGUACCCGUACCGUAAACGGACACACGUAGUCGGGUUGAAUAUACUCAGGCGCUUGAGUGAAUCACGGUUAAGGAACUAGGCAAAUUGACCCUGUAACUUCGGGAUAAAGGGUCCCUACCCGGUGACGGGAGGGCGCAGAGAAUAGGUCCAGGCAACUGUUUAACAAAAACACAGGGCUGUGCAAAAUUGAAAGAUCACGUAUACAGCCUGACACCUGCCCGGUGCUGGAAGGUUAAGAGGAGAUGUCAUCGCAAGAGAAGCAUUGAAUUGAAGCCCCAGUAAACGGCGGCCGUAACUAUAACGGUCCUAAGGUAGCGAAAUUCCUUGUCGGGUAAGUUCCGACCUGCACGAAUGGUGUAAUGAUCUGGACACUGUCUCAACCGUGAGCUCAGUGAAAUUGUAGUAUCGGUGAAGAUGCCGAUUACCCGCGAUGGGACGAAAAGACCCCGUGAACCUUUACUAUAGCUUAACAUUGAAUUUGGGUAAUUGAUGUGUAGGAUAGGCCGGAGACUUUGAAGCAGGCACGCCAGUGUUUGUGGAGUCGCUGUUGAAAUACGGCCCUUUGGUUAUUUGAGUUCUAACUCGCUGAUGCGAGGACACUGUUUGGUGGGUAGUUUGACUGGGGUGGUCGCCUCCAAAAGCGUAACGGAGGCUUCUAAAGGUGCCCUCACGGCGAUUGGUAACCGCCGUUAGAGUGUAAUGGCAUAAGGGCGCUUGACUGGGAGACUGACAAGUCGAUCAGGUAGGAAACUAGAGCAUAGUGAUCCGGUGUUUCCGUAUGGAAGGGACAUCGCUCAAAGGAUAAAAGGUACUCCGGGGAUAACAGGCUGAUCCCUCCCAAGAGCUCAUAUCGACGGAGGGGUUUGGCACCUCGAUGUCGGCUCGUCACAUCCUGGGGCUGGAGAAGGUCCCAAGGGUUGGGCUGUUCGCCCAUUAAAGUGGCACGCGAGCUGGGUUCAGAACGUCGUGAGACAGUUCGGUCUCUAUCUAUCGUGGGCGUAUGAAAUUUGCGUGGCUCUGACACUAGUACGAGAGGACCGUGUUGGA
This 2245-nucleotide ribosomal RNA is filed under the name human gut metagenome. RNAcentral's name for it is "bacterial LSU rRNA". It matches the Rfam family "Bacterial large subunit ribosomal RNA", at positions 446 to 2701 of the family's 2925-position model. The record is from RNAcentral.